This 73-nucleotide transfer RNA is filed under the name Felis catus (domestic cat). It matches the Rfam family "tRNA". Rfam says of the family: Transfer RNA (tRNA) molecules are approximately 80 nucleotides in length. Their secondary structure includes four short double-helical elements and three loops (D, anti-codon, and T loops). Further hydrogen bonds mediate the characteristic L-shaped molecular structure. tRNAs have two regions of fundamental functional importance: the anti-codon, which is responsible for specific mRNA codon recognition, and the 3' end, to which the tRNAs corresponding amino acid is attached (by aminoacyl-tRNA synthetases). tRNAs cope with the degeneracy of the genetic code in two manners: having more than one tRNA (with a specific anti-codon) for a particular amino acid; and 'wobble' base-pairing, i.e. permitting non-standard base-pairing at the 3rd anti-codon position. Lineage: Eukaryota; Metazoa; Chordata; Mammalia; Carnivora; Felidae. The record is from Rfam by way of RNAcentral. RNAcentral also lists the same sequence under 1 other name.
ACCUGGCUGGCUCAUUUGGUGGAGCGAGCGACUCUUGAUCUCGAGGUUGUGAGUUCAAGCCCCACACUGGGUG